Molecule: long non-coding RNA, 291 nt
Filed under: Hordeum vulgare
Lineage: Eukaryota; Viridiplantae; Streptophyta; Magnoliopsida; Poales; Poaceae
Description: long non-coding RNA (HVUL_LNC016218)
Source: RNAcentral
AGUGGACCGUCGCCGACUGGAUGAUGGGGGCGUCCUUAGUUCAGUCGGAACUGUCUAAGGGCCUUGUCCCCUAUGAAGGGUAGUCCUUCGGUAGGACCUAUAGGGCAGACCUAUGACCCUACCCUCGGACUAUAACCCCAUCAUUAGUCCCCGAAUGGAUCGGAGCUGGAACGAUGAAGUGAUGUCCGGAGUUGGGAGCCGACUGGUAUUGAGGUGAUCUUAGCAUUGUCUACCUCGAUCCAUUUUAUCUUUGCGGCUAGUGAUCCGAGUGAAUAUGCAAGCGAAACGAAC